UACAUUUUAGUGUAUGGUGCACGAGAACUUUUGAUGUUUUUGGGGAUAGUUCGAUUCUAUUGGAUGUAA
RNAcentral lists this transfer RNA (69 nucleotides) under Symplocodes ridleyi. Its description in RNAcentral is "tRNA-Gln". Lineage: Eukaryota; Metazoa; Arthropoda; Insecta; Blattodea; Blattellidae. The record is from RNAcentral.